AGACCCGAAACCCGGUGAUCUAGCCAUGGGCAGGUUGAAGGUUGGGUAACACUAACUGGAGGACCGAACCGACUAAUGUUGAAAAAUUAGCGGAUGACCUGUGGCUGGGGGUGAAAGGCCAAUCAAACCGGGAGAUAGCUGGUUCUCCCCGAAAGCUAUUUAGGUAGCGCCUCGUGAAUUCAUCUCCGGGGGUAGAGCACUGUUUCGGCUAGGGGGCCAUCCCGGCUUACCAACCCGAUGCAAACUGCGAAUACCGGAGAAUGUUAUCACGGGAGACACACGGCGGGUGCUAACGUCCGUCGUGAAGAGGGAAACAACCCAGACCGCCAGCUAAGGUCCCAAAGUCAUGGUUAAGUGGGAAACGAUGUGGGAAGGCCCAGACAGCCAGGAUGUUGGCUUAGAAGCAGCCAUCAUUUAAAGAAAGCGUAAUAGCUCACUGGUCGAGUCGGCCUGCGCGGAAGAUGUAACGGGGCUAAACCAUGCACCGAAGCUGCGGCAGCGAACGUAUCACUUAAAGCGAUUCAGCGGGUUACGAUUGACGGAGCGAAGCGACGUCAAAGCGUAUACAAAGUCGAGUCGGUUUAAGGAUACGUUCGUUGGGUAGGGGAGCGUUCUGUAAGCCUGUGAAGGUGUGUCGUGAGGCAUGCUGGAGGUAUCAGAAGUGCGAAUGCUGACAUAAGUAACGAUAAAGCGGGUGAAAAGCCCGCUCGCCGGAAGACCAAGGGUUCCUGUCCAACGUUAAUCGGGGCAGGGUGAGUCGACCCCUAAGGCGAGGCCGAAAGGCGUAGUCGAUGGGAAACGGGUUAAUAUUCCCGUACUUGGUGUUACUGCGAAGGGGGGACGGAGAAGGCUAUGUUGGCCGGGCGACGGUUGUCCCGGUUUAAGCGUGUAGGCUG
Molecule: ribosomal RNA, 896 nt
Filed under: Salmonella enterica subsp. enterica serovar Infantis
Lineage: Bacteria; Pseudomonadati; Pseudomonadota; Gammaproteobacteria; Enterobacterales; Enterobacteriaceae
Also listed under: 1 other name
Description: partial 23S ribosomal RNA
Rfam family: Bacterial large subunit ribosomal RNA
Source: RNAcentral